RNAcentral lists this ribosomal RNA (489 nucleotides) under Thinophilus sp. 3 SNK-2009. RNAcentral's name for it is "partial 16S ribosomal RNA". It matches the Rfam family "Bacterial large subunit ribosomal RNA", at positions 1862 to 2606 of the family's 2925-position model. The record is from RNAcentral. Lineage: Eukaryota; Metazoa; Arthropoda; Insecta; Diptera; Dolichopodidae.
CCCACUGAAUUAUAAUUUGAAGGGCCGCAGUAUCCUAACUGUGCAAAGGUAGCAUAAUAAUUAGUCUUUUAAUUGAAGGCUUGUAUGAAUGAUUGGACGAGAUAUAAACUGUCUCAAUUAAAUUGUUAGAAUUUUAUUUUUUAGUUAAAAAGCUAAAAUUUAUUUAAAAGACGAGAAGACCCUAUAGAUCUUUAUAUUAAUUUUUAUAUAAUUUUUGGGGAUUAAUUUUAGUUAUAUUUAAUAUUAAUAUUUUAUUGGGGUGAUACUGAAAUUUAAAAAACUUUCAGUUAUUUAUAACAUUAAUUUAUGAUUUAUUGAUCCGCUAUUAGUGAUUAAAAAUUUAAGUUACCUUAGGGAUAACAGCGUAAUUAUUUUGGAGAGUUCAUAUCGAUAAAAUAGAUUGCGACCUCGAUGUUGGAUUAAGAUUAAUUUCAGGGGCAGUACCUUGAACUAUUGAGUCUGUUCGACUCUUAAUUUCUUACAUGAUCU